Molecule: ribosomal RNA, 400 nt
Filed under: uncultured bacterium
Lineage: Bacteria
Description: bacterial SSU rRNA
Rfam family: Bacterial small subunit ribosomal RNA
Source: RNAcentral
UAUUGGUCAAUGGAGGCAACUCUGAACCAGCCAAGUCGCGUGAAGGAAGACGGCCCUACGGGUUGUAAACUUCUUUUGUACAGGAAUAAAACCAUCCACGCGUGGAUAUUUGCAUGUACUGUACGAAUAAGGAUCGGCUAACUCCGUGCCAGCAGCCGCGGUAAUACGGAGGAUCCGAGCGUUAUCCGGAUUUAUUGGGUUUAAAGGGUGCGCAGGCGGGAUGUUAAGUCGGCGGUGAAAUUUUGCGGCUCAACCGUAAAAGUGCCUUCGAAACCGGCAUUCUUGAGUAUAGAUGAAGUAGGCGGAAUUUGUGGUGUAGCGGUGAAAUGCAUAGAUAUCACGAGGAACUCCGAUUGCGCAGGCAGCUUACUAAAGCUAUAACUGACGCUCAUGCACGAAG